RNAcentral lists this ribosomal RNA (467 nucleotides) under uncultured bacterium. RNAcentral describes it as "partial 16S ribosomal RNA". It matches the Rfam family "Bacterial small subunit ribosomal RNA", at positions 28 to 506 of the family's 1533-position model. The record is from RNAcentral.
GACGAACGCUGGCGGCGUGCUUAACACAUGCAAGUCGAACGGAAAGGCCCUGCUUUUGUGGGGUGCUCGAGUGGCGAACGGGUGAGUAACACGUGAGUAACCUGCCCUUGACUUUGGGAUAACUUCAGGAAACUGGGGCUAAUACCGGAUAGGAGCUCCUGCUGCAUGGUGGGGGUUGGAAAGUUUCGGCGGUUGGGGAUGGACUCGCGGCUUAUCAGCUUGUUGGUGGGGUAGUGGCUUACCAAGGCUUUGACGGGUAGCCGGCCUGAGAGGGUGACCGGCCAUAUUGGGACUGAGAUACGGCCCAGACUCCUACGGGAGGCAGCAGUGGGGAAUAUUGCACAAUGGGCGGAAGCCUGAUGCAGCAACGCCGCGUGCGGGAUGACGGCCUUCGGGUUGUAAACCGCUUUCGCCUGUGACGAAGCGUGAGUGACGGUAAUGGGUAAAGAAGCACCGGCUAACUACGU